UGGGGAAUAUUGCACAAUGGGCGCAAGCCUGAUGCAGCCAUGCCGCGUGUAUGAAGAAGGCCUUCGGGUUGUACAGUACUUUCAGUCGGGAGGAAGGUGGUAAGGUUAAUAACCUUAUCAAUUGACGUUACCGACAGAAGAAGCACCGGCUAACUCCGUGCCAGCAGCCGCGGUAAUACGGAGGGUGCAAGCGUUAAUCGGAAUUACUGGGCGUAAAGCGCACGCAGGCGGUUGAUUGAGUCAGAUGUGAAAUCCCCGGGCUUAACCCGGGAAUUGCAUCUGAUACUGGUCAGCUAGAGUCUUGUAGAGGGGGGUAGAAUUCCAGGUGUAGCGGUGAAAUGCGUAGAGAUCUGGAGGAAUACCGGUGGCGAAGGCGGCCCCCUGGACGAAGACUGACGCUCAGGUGCGAAAGCGUGGGGAGCAAACAGG
This 429-nucleotide ribosomal RNA is filed under the name Chloroflexota bacterium. Its description in RNAcentral is "Chloroflexi bacterium partial 16S ribosomal RNA". It matches the Rfam family "Bacterial small subunit ribosomal RNA", at positions 355 to 776 of the family's 1533-position model. Lineage: Bacteria; Bacillati; Chloroflexota. The record is from RNAcentral.